Molecule: ribosomal RNA, 98 nt
Filed under: Nakaseomyces nivariensis
Lineage: Eukaryota; Fungi; Ascomycota; Saccharomycetes; Saccharomycetales; Saccharomycetaceae
Description: [Candida] nivariensis 5.8S ribosomal RNA
Rfam family: 5.8S ribosomal RNA
About the family: 5.8S ribosomal RNA (5.8S rRNA) is a component of the large subunit of the eukaryotic ribosome. It is transcribed by RNA polymerase I as part of the 45S precursor that also contains 18S and 28S rRNA.
Source: RNAcentral
AACUUUCAACAAUGGAUCUCUUGGUUCUCGCAUCGAUGAAGAACGCAGCGAAAUGCGAUACGUAAUGUGAAUUGCAGAAUUCCGUGAAUCAUCGAAUC